CGAGGAUGACGAGGAGAACGAGGAUUUGUGCACGAAGGUAAAUGCAGCCAGCAUCAUGUCAAAAUCGGAAACUCUCUGAUGUUCUGCGAUAAGUUCUCAUCUCUACCGUUGGAAUAUCUCACGGAGCAAUUUUCGGUUGUCACAUCUAAGCCAACGAGGGCAACUGUACCUAUAGUUUUCAUCCAAUGGUACAACCCGAGGUGGUUAUCGGUGGUUGUUCGAGGUGGUUGGCGAUUGUUGGAGGU
This 245-nucleotide long non-coding RNA is filed under the name Neodiprion lecontei (redheaded pine sawfly). Its description in RNAcentral is "uncharacterized LOC124293299". The record is from RNAcentral. Lineage: Eukaryota; Metazoa; Arthropoda; Insecta; Hymenoptera; Diprionidae.